AUGAACAAAGAGCACAUCAUGUGAACCUGAAACAUCAAUCAAACUCCAGCAAAGAUAAGACACAAGCAUUGGGAUCAAUCCUUGACCAAUAUCAAGUUUGAUCUCCAAUGUAACAGGCUAUGCAACAGAUUGAAACAAGCAUUAUCACAUUCACAUCUUUGCAAGCAAUCUCUCUAAGUACAAGCAAGAUCAAAUCAGAUUCAAGACGAGCUACUUAGGCAAUAACUUCUGCCUUAACUACAAUUUAGAUUUGAAUCUAAGUGUAUCAACCUAAGGCAGCAACAAUAUGACAAUAUGCAAUAACCUUAAUCAGUUUCUAUUUAUGAAUGCAAGAAGAGAUCAGACAAUACUAGGAUUGAACAUAGACAGUAUGAGACAUGCUUAUGUAUGCAAAACAGCUUAUCAAUCAUGAUGUAAUCAGUUGAGAUAUUCUACUCAUUCCUACAACAUAUUCAUGGCGAUUUGAGCUAUGGAAAUACGCAAGUCAAUGCAACAGACAGAAUCAUGAUAAUAUCAAGUCCUAAUCUAUGCAAGCACAUUCUCUAAAUACUUAUGUAUGAUCAAUGAUCAAACCCAUAGUAUUUAGGCAAUAAUAGUUAACCACCUUAACCACCAUCUUAGACAUUAAUCUAGAUGUUUCAAUCUUAAGGUAGCAACCGAAUGAUAAUGCAAAACACCUUAACAACCCUUUUAGACCUCAUGAGUGCAACCAGCGGAUGAGACAAUAUCAUCUAGCAUCCUAGCAACACAUUCAAGACUCACAGCAUGGCAUAUAUCAUCAAGAACACCAAACAAGUCUCAUAAAGCAUCCUGGGAUAUACACAGCAUAUCAAUCACCACACCACCUCAACAUUUCUAUACUCAAGCUUUUUAAUAAAGAGGGAAAGAGAUCCAGCUUACAGCCAAGGAACUUUUACUAGUUCCUUGAAUCUCCAUGGUUCAUGGCCAGAUGUUGAGCUCUUGGUGUCGUAUCACACCCCUUCUUCUUUCAUGAACCAUCCUCUUGAACCCACCAUGGCUGAGACACCUCCUU
Molecule: long non-coding RNA, 1033 nt
Filed under: Brassica napus (rape)
Lineage: Eukaryota; Viridiplantae; Streptophyta; Magnoliopsida; Brassicales; Brassicaceae
Description: long non-coding RNA (BNAP_LNC014091)
Source: RNAcentral